AAGCCUCUAGAUAGAAAAUAGGUGCCCGUACCGCAAACCGACACAGGUAGUCAAGAUGAGAAUUCUAAGGUGAGCGAGCGAACUCUCGUUAAGGAACUCGGCAAAAUGACCCCGUAACUUCGGGAGAAGGGGUGCUCUUUAGGGUUAACGCCCAGAAGAGCCGCAGUGAAUAGGCCCAAGCGACUGUUUAUCAAAAACACAGGUCUCUGCUAAACCGUAAGGUGAUGUAUAGGGGCUGACGCCUGCCCGGUGCUGGAAGGUUAAGAGGAGUGGUUAGCUUCUGCGAAGCUACGAAUCGAAGCCCCAGUAAACGGCGGCCGUAACUAUAACGGUCCUAAGGUAGCGAAAUUCCUUGUCGGGUAAGUUCCGACCCGCACGAAAGGCGUAACGAUUUGGGCACUGUCUCAACGAGAGACUCGGUGAAAUCAUAGUACCUGUGAAGAUGCAGGUUACCCGCGACAGGACGGAAAGACCCCGUGGAGCUUUACUGUAGCCUGAUAUUGAAAUUCGGCACAGCUUGUACAGGAUAGGUAGGAGCCUUUGAAACGUGAGCGCUAGCUUACGUGGAGGCGCUGGUGGG
RNAcentral lists this ribosomal RNA (580 nucleotides) under Staphylococcus aureus. RNAcentral's name for it is "partial 23S ribosomal RNA". It matches the Rfam family "Bacterial large subunit ribosomal RNA", at positions 1615 to 2196 of the family's 2925-position model. The record is from RNAcentral. Lineage: Bacteria; Bacillati; Bacillota; Bacilli; Caryophanales; Staphylococcaceae.